This 349-nucleotide ribosomal RNA is filed under the name uncultured bacterium. RNAcentral describes it as "bacterial SSU rRNA". It matches the Rfam family "Bacterial small subunit ribosomal RNA", at positions 8 to 349 of the family's 1533-position model. The record is from RNAcentral.
AGAGUUUGAUCAUGGCUCAGGAUGAACGCUAGCUACAGGCUUAACACAUGCAAGUCGAGGGGAAACGACAUCGAAAGCUUGCUUUUGAUGGGCGUCGACCGGCGCACGGGUGAGUAACGCGUAUCCAACCUGCCCACCACUUGGGGAUAACCUUGCGAAAGUAAGACUAAUACCCAAUGACGUCUCUAGAGGACAUCUGAAAGAGAUUAAAGAUUUAUCGGUGAUGGAUGGGGAUGCGUCUGAUUAGCUUGUGGCGGGGUAACGCCACAAGGCGACGAUCAGUAGGGGUUCUGAGAGGAAGGUCCCCCANAUUGGAACUGAGACACGGUCCAAACUCCGUACGGGAGCA